UCUAUAGCCAUACCACCCUGAAUGCACCCCGAUCUUGUCUGAUCUCGGAAGCUAAGCAGGGUUGAGCCUGGUUAGUACGUGGACAGGAGAAUUCAAUAUCCAAGUAUAAGAGGCAUAUAGAA
This is a ribosomal RNA of Fukomys damarensis (Damara mole-rat), 122 nucleotides long. The record is from Ensembl. NCBI's taxonomy places the organism in Eukaryota, Metazoa, Chordata, Mammalia, Rodentia, Bathyergidae.